GGCCAUGUAGCCCAGUUGGCUAUAGCGUUGGCUGUACUAAAGCCUUCCCCUUGCUGGCGUGGGUUCGAAUCCCACCGAGGCCG
Non-coding RNA from Schistocephalus solidus, 83 nucleotides. Lineage: Eukaryota; Metazoa; Platyhelminthes; Cestoda; Diphyllobothriidea; Diphyllobothriidae. The record is from Rfam.